UACGGAGGGUGCAAACGUUGCUCGGAAUUAUUGGGCGUAAAGCGCGCGCAGGCGGCUAUUUAAGUCUGGUGUUUAAACCUUGGGCUCAACCUGAGGUCGCACUGGAAACUGGGUGGCUUGAGUACAGAAGAGGAAAGUGGAAUUCCACGUGUAGCGGUGAAAUGCGUAGAUAUGUGGAGGAACACCAGUGGCGAAGGCGACUUUCUGGGCUGUAACUGACGCUGAGGCGCGAAAGCGUGGGGAGCGAACAGG
This 252-nucleotide ribosomal RNA is filed under the name uncultured bacterium. RNAcentral describes it as "partial 16S ribosomal RNA". It matches the Rfam family "Bacterial small subunit ribosomal RNA", at positions 524 to 776 of the family's 1533-position model. The record is from RNAcentral.